AGGUGUCAUGCCUCGGUGCCAAGAGGACAUGCCUGUGGUACCCCCACAGGUGGUUAUAGCUCAGGUAUACCCUACGGUAUUCUAACAAAAUAUAAUGUCACAACACAUGCGACAAAAUAUCAACACAAAGGGGUUCUAACGUGUACAUGUUAAAUCGAACGAAACAUCAACACAAGUCUCUAUAAUAUACUAACAUGUACAUCACUACGAAAAUCGAAAUAAAUAUGAUAAACGAGUUCAAAGAGUACAAGUUAUGAUAUUCUAAAGACUCAAGAUAAAUUGUCAUAUGAACUUCACUAAGAUCAAGGUAUCGAGACAAUAUACGAAAUCAAAACGAGAAGCAAAACGAACAAACUAAAAUUAAAGAGUAUCGCUGAAUAAGUACGGAAU
RNAcentral lists this long non-coding RNA (390 nucleotides) under Panax ginseng (ginseng). RNAcentral describes it as "long non-coding RNA (PGIN_LNC009220)". Lineage: Eukaryota; Viridiplantae; Streptophyta; Magnoliopsida; Apiales; Araliaceae. The record is from RNAcentral.